CUGUAGACCAGAGGUGUUCCUAUUCGGCCAUCUUGGCUCCUCCCAGAAAAAUCCUAAUGUUUUCAACGUGAAAUAUGUAUUUCUAUUUUAGUCUGGAUCUUUUAUUUUGAGACAGCAGAGUGCAGUGGAGGAAGUCCUAGAAGAACUUCUGUGAAAAACUCCUGUAACAAGUAUGCUGAAGAUUUUGACCCAUGGACUGAGAACAAAAUGCAACUUCAGUUUUGUCUCCCUCUUGUUGUAAUUGUCUUGAUCUGUAAUGAUUAA
RNAcentral lists this long non-coding RNA (264 nucleotides) under Homo sapiens (human). RNAcentral describes it as "HSALNT0057167". The record is from RNAcentral. Lineage: Eukaryota; Metazoa; Chordata; Mammalia; Primates; Hominidae.